Molecule: non-coding RNA, 488 nt
Organism: Pelodiscus sinensis (Chinese soft-shelled turtle)
Lineage: Eukaryota; Metazoa; Chordata; Testudines; Trionychidae
Source: RefSeq, a predicted model, not a curated record
CAAGAGGUUAUCUAGUCCAAUUCCCUGCAGGACCUAGGGUGAAAGCCAGUUUCCAGUCCAGAGAUCAGGCGGUGUCUUUUGAAGGCAGCAGCUGUGCACUCUUUCUGUUGUGCUUUGGUGUUUAUAGCACUGCAGCAAGAGCUUCCCCAGGGGGUUUUGUCAAGUUGGCGUAUCUAACUGGUGGUCGGCUUUAUGACUGGUGAAGUGGAAUGUGAAGCAGAUAUUCCUGCCUUCAUCAUGAAGCUGGCUCAGAAGAAAGAAAAAGAUGUAACUGACUGGGAACAGGAAUUUCAGUUUUGUGGACUCUGUUCCAACACCCAGGAAGACCUGCAGUGGGCACACAUCACCAGCCUACGUGCCCUGUAGUGCCCCCUGGACCAGCAGGACCACAGACUGGAGGUGGACCUUGAGCUGCACCAAAACACCUGGCAGGAGCAGCUGCAGCAGAGCCAGACCAUGUGCACGGCUUUCACCGCCGCUCUCAACCA